UGGUGGUUUUAAGCCCUGGUUUCCAUAAAUAAUAAUUAAAUAAUAACAAGAAUAAUCGUUGGAAGUCCAGCUUUUAAACAUAGGCAACUUAAACUCUAAAAAUAUCUGAAACAAAACAAAAAAAAUGAAAAAAAAUUACUAUUGUAAAAAAAAAUGGAGUUAUUCGAUUUAUGCGGGGAAAAUUACACCCGUGUUGUGUGUGUGUGUGUGCACUGCGUAGUUACUGAUGAAACGAAAUUGAUCAUGCUAGUACCCGUCCGGGUGUCCACUGUCCAAGAAGAAAGUUCAGAACAUCAGAACACCUGGCAAUCCCGGCAUAAAAAUACGUAAUACGUGCUAAGUGAUAAGGUAUAAUAUACAUAUCUACAGUUCGCAAGUUCAGUUAAUUUACUUAUGGUUGUGGCUGCCACUUGUAAAACAUUGAAAACCGACUUCACCUCACUGCAGAGAAGAAAAACGAUUAAAGUAAUUGGAGAAAACUUUGGCUGAAGAUAAAUUGUAAAAACAAAAAGAAACAAUUGUACUGAGUGAAAAAUGUCUUCGAUGAAAUGAAGGAAGAAGAGCAAACUAAUCUCGAAGCUUAUGCAGCGGCCAUACGGAAACUCCAAGCUCUCAGUUAGGGAUGAGUUUCCGACGACUGUGGUGGAGGAGAUAACGCCACUUUGGAAUAUCCGUUAAUGGGUUAAUGGUAUCCACUACAGCUUUGUCUGACAUCGACCGACAGCAAUGCGCUAUGCAGACGGACCAUCGCAAAAAGCAGCUUAAAAUGUAGUCACCUGACAUGAAGAAAACUAAAAGAACAUUUUCCAACGGUAGAAAGCAAGUAGAGAAAUUCGAACAUGAAAUACAAAAUUUUGAGGAUUCAUUUUCGAAAUAGGUAGUUCAGAUUUUAAAUAUUGUAACAAGUGUUGGUCGCGAUCUUCAGAUCGAAAUGAAUCGUAUAAAUUUUCAAGAUGGAUUAAUUGAACAACUGAAAGAAACAGUCAUCAUGGAAUUGAAUCCAUUUCAACAGAAAAUAUUUCGAUCGCAGAGCCCAACGUUAACCAUAAUGCUGUUCGUUGUAAUUCAAUGUGACGAUUCAUGACGGAGGCGUCGACGAAACACAGUGCAGAAUGUACGCGGAAUCAGCCAACAAAACGCUAAAACGGUUACCACGCUGGAGAGUAAAAAAAAUGAAAAAUAUACAGUCAAUCAAUGAUAUACAACUGAAAAUAGCCGAAGCUGAAAUGAUAAGACUGAAAAAGAAAUCGGACAAAAGUUGCGAAACUUUGCAAAAACGCAAACAGGAAUUCGCAGCUUUCCAGUUGGAAAUCGAACACAUUGAGAAAUCCAUUGAGAAUAAUAGUCCCAAUAAAGUUGACGCCGCUACCAAAGCAUUACAUAACCUUGAUGAACAAUAUUGCAUAUAAGGCUAGUCAUGCAAGAAUACGAAGAGAAAAAACGUGUUGCAGCUCAAAUACCUGGUCCACAAAUACGAAUGGAUAGAAACUGAUAAGCAUUUUUCGGCAAGCAAAAAGGAAUCUUUGAUUUUGAAGGAGACAAUUGUUUAAAAAAAUGACGCGCAAGUUCAGUGUUCCUACCUCGAAAACGCAAAAAUCCGUAUUUUCAUCGAAAAAAAAAUCCGAAAGUCGAUAUCACAAACAAGUCAACAUCGAUCAUCGCGUGCAUCCUAGAAUGUUCGAAGCUAAAGGUCGACAAAUCCAGGAACAUAAAACAUAAUGUUGGUGAUAUUCGGCGACGAAGAUGCGGUUGCUGAUUGUGAAGAUGAUCUGUUGACUUUGGAAGAAGAAUCUUCAAAACGUUCAGGAUGACGUGAAAGCGCCAAGUACAGCGGAUAUGAUAUUCGAUGGUGGAAAUACUCGAAAUAAUCGUGACAAACCAGGGUACGUCGUGAAUAAAAUGCCCCUUGUGAACAGAAAGCAGCAGAUAAUUUUUCAAAAAGAUCUUGUACAUUUUAUACGUACAUCGCGUGCGUAGUGAGGACUUUUUGCACGGAUUUAAAUAAAUUGUUAUACAUAGAUGUAACUUGUAUUAUGAAACAAUUUUUUUUGGUACAUUCACUGAUACGAUUUUUUCUUUAUUAAUGAAUAUUUCCUGUGAAGAUUAUUAUGAAGAUACCGAUGUUUGCUUUUUUCAUUUCUUUUCCCUGUGAAAUAAUAGCAUAUGUGAUGUGCACCAUGUAUUUGUCGCCUUAAUAUUUUUUUUAUCUUUCAUUCAUUUUUAAAAAAUGAGGUAAUUACUGUUAUAGUAGGCAGUGAUAUUUCGUUUUAACAGAAUUUUGUCAAGUACUUUAAUCUCACUGCAGUUGUUUUUUUUUGUGAAUCAAACAGAGUUACGCUUUCAAAUGAAAAAAAAAAGAAAAAAAUACACAUUUGAACAAGGUACAUUAAUGAUUGAUUAUUCUUAUUUAGAUGAUUAAUUGAUGUGAAUAUGGAUUAAGAUGUGAGACAAGAUCAUUACAUGCAGGUUUGCAGUGCUAAAUUGUUCUUUGUCGAAAAAUAAAUUUUAUCCAUGUUAGAA
Planococcus citri (citrus mealybug) is the source of this 2520-nucleotide long non-coding RNA. RefSeq lists it as uncharacterized. The record is from RefSeq and is a predicted model, not a curated record. The transcript has 9 exons. Lineage: Eukaryota; Metazoa; Arthropoda; Insecta; Hemiptera; Pseudococcidae.